GCUGCGCUGCGGGUCCACAGUGUGGCUUUCGGCCCGUGCUGCGCUGGUACUUGCACUUCCUCUGGCGGGGCACGGGGUGGCGCUCCCGGGUAAGGCAGCGACCGGCGGAGCCUUGAGCGAGGCGCUGCCUCUCCGGCUGAAGCUGGAUCCAAGGCCACCGUGAGGGGGACCCGCCAUCCAGGAGAGUUCUGCGCAGGCUGCAAAUGUCUGCGUUAAAACAGCUCUGCUGGGCUAAGACAGGACAGAAGCAGACAGCAGGUGGAGGAGACACACUUUCCUAUCCAGCAGAACCUGCGGCAAGCUCCACAGCGCCCUCCAGUCUUGCUUCCGGGAAGGUGGUUAAUUCCAUCUGCUCCUUCUGGCCAGCAGCAGGAAGAGUGGGCUUGUGUGUGCCAGGCCCUGCAGUCUCUCCUCUCACCUGGUGUCUCCAGUGAGGGGCCUGAGUCACCGCACACCAUGAGCUUGUGCUCAGCCUGCACAUCUCCCAUCUCCCACCAGCUGCUCCUCAACUGGCAGGGCCAGAUUCUAGCAAAAUCUAGCAAAAUCUCACUCCUGUGCAAAUGCUUGGGUUUCCCUGGUGUCUGGGGGUGGUGUGCUUGGUGGCCUGAGCACUGCGGUGAAUCCAUGUUUCCCUCCCAGCACACUGUUCUGUCCUCCAACUUGGCGGACAGCUCCGGCCAGGGACGUAGCCCAGCCGAUGCCCACCCUGCGCUCUGUCCAUUUCAUAAGAGCCCCCGGUUUCCUCACUUCCCUCAGAUUUUGACAAGAGAACGGUCCCAGUGUGGCCCAGAAAGGCCAGCAGGGUGCAGCCUGGGACUGACAGCAGAGGCGGCUCUGGUGGGGAGAAAGUAGCUCUCCCAGCCUAGCCCCACUGGUGGGCGGCACCUCCUGGCUUCAGGCCAUCUUUUGUCCCAGUCCCAGGUAAGAAAAACACAAACAAAAGCCAGCGUCACGGCGCUCGAGAAGCAGGCGGCCAUUCACUGACAGCAACACACUGUGUGCACAGACACACGCGUGGACAGGAGGUAGAGCUUGGGGUUGCUGUGCAGUGGACAGGACACUGGAGCGGCAGGCGGUGCGGACCCGCUGGGCAGCCAAGCGUGGUUGUCGUCCUGAGCAGCAGGAGCCAGUUUGUUGCUCAGGGCCUUGUCUUUUUUACGAAGAGCCCCAGGCCACGGGGGCUUCUCUGGGUGCCUCUUUGCUGCCACGUCUGCACGCGGACAGAGAGCAGACCCGGCCACCGACUCACUUGCUUUGCUGUCUUCAGAUGGAAAAGCCACUGUCAUAGCCCCAAAGGAGGGGAAACUG
Mandrillus leucophaeus (drill) is the source of this 1308-nucleotide long non-coding RNA. RefSeq lists it as uncharacterized. The transcript is spliced from 3 exons. Lineage: Eukaryota; Metazoa; Chordata; Mammalia; Primates; Cercopithecidae. The record is from RefSeq and is a predicted model, not a curated record.